RNAcentral lists this microRNA (22 nucleotides) under Strongyloides ratti. RNAcentral describes it as "str-miR-8366b-5p". The record is from miRBase by way of RNAcentral. Lineage: Eukaryota; Metazoa; Nematoda; Chromadorea; Rhabditida; Strongyloididae.
ACAGUAUUGAUAUGUGGGUGAC